RNAcentral lists this ribosomal RNA (1446 nucleotides) under Lactiplantibacillus plantarum. RNAcentral describes it as "bacterial SSU rRNA". It matches the Rfam family "Bacterial small subunit ribosomal RNA". The record is from RNAcentral. Lineage: Bacteria; Bacillati; Bacillota; Bacilli; Lactobacillales; Lactobacillaceae.
UCGUACGACUCUGGUAUUGAUUGGUGCUUGCAUCAUGAUUUACAUUUGAGUGAGUGGCGAACUGGUGAGUAACACGUGGGAAACCUGCCCAGAAGCGGGGGAUAACACCUGGAAACAGAUGCUAAUACCGCAUAACAACUUGGACCGCAUGGUCCGAGCUUGAAAGAUGGCUUCGGCUAUCACUUUUGGAUGGUCCCGCGGCGUAUUAGCUAGAUGGUGGGGUAACGGCUCACCAUGGCAAUGAUACGUAGCCGACCUGAGAGGGUAAUCGGCCACAUUGGGACUGAGACACGGCCCAAACUCCUACGGGAGGCAGCAGUAGGGAAUCUUCCACAAUGGACGAAAGUCUGAUGGAGCAACGCCGCGUGAGUGAAGAAGGGUUUCGGCUCGUAAAACUCUGUUGUUAAAGAAGAACAUAUCUGAGAGUAACUGUUCAGGUAUUGACGGUAUUUAACCAGAAAGCCACGGCUAACUACGUGCCAGCAGCCGCGGUAAUACGUAGGUGGCAAGCGUUGUCCGGAUUUAUUGGGCGUAAAGCGAGCGCAGGCGGUUUUUUAAGUCUGAUGUGAAAGCCUUCGGCUCAACCGAAGAAGUGCAUCGGAAACUGGGAAACUUGAGUGCAGAAGAGGACAGUGGAACUCCAUGUGUAGCGGUGAAAUGCGUAGAUAUAUGGAAGAACACCAGUGGCGAAGGCGGCUGUCUGGUCUGUAACUGACGCUGAGGCUCGAAAGUAUGGGUAGCAAACAGGAUUAGAUACCCUGGUAGUCCAUACCGUAACGAUGAUGCUAAGUGUUGGAGGGUUCCGCCCCUUCAGUGCUGCAGCUAACGCAUUAAGCAUUCCGCCUGGGGAGUACGGCCGCAAGGCUGAAACUCAAAGGAAUUGACGGGGGCCCGCACAAGCGGUGGAGCAUGUGGUUUAAUUCGAAGCUACGCGAAGAACCUUACCAGGUCUUGACAUACUAUGCAAAUCUAAGAGAUUAGACGUUCCCUUCGGGGACAUGGAUACAGGUGGUGCAUGGUUGUCGUCAGCUCGUGUCGUGAGAUGUUGGGUUAAGUCCCGCAACGAGCGCAACCCUUAUUAUCAGUUGCCAGCAUUAAGUUGGGCACUCUGGUGAGACUGCCGGUGACAAACCGGAGGAAGGUGGGGAUGACGUCAAAUCAUCAUGCCCCUUAUGACCUGGGCUACACACGUGCUACAAUGGAUGGUACAACGAGUUGCGAACUCGCGAGAGUAAGCUAAUCUCUUAAAGCCAUUCUCAGUUCGGAUUGUAGGCUGCAACUCGCCUACAUGAAGUCGGAAUCGCUAGUAAUCGCGGAUCAGCAUGCCGCGGUGAAUACGUUCCCGGGCCUUGUACACACCGCCCGUCACACCAUGAGAGUUUGUAACACCCAAAGUCGGUGGGGUAACCUUUUAGGAACCAGCCGCCUAAGGUGGGACAGAUGAUA